CCGGCCGGGAACUCAAGGAGACUGCCAGUGAGUAAACUGGGGGAAGGUGGGGAUGACGUCAAGUCAUCAUGGCCCUUACGACCAGGGCUACACACGUGCUACAAUGGCGCAUACAAAGAGAAGCGACCUCGCGAGAGCAAGCGGACCUCAUAAAGUGCGUCGUAGUCCGGAUUGGAGUCUGCAACUCGACUCCAUGAAGUCGGAAUCGCUAGUAAUCGUGGAUCAGAAUGCCACGGUGAAUACGUUCCCGGGCCUU
This 256-nucleotide ribosomal RNA is filed under the name uncultured Enterobacteriaceae bacterium. RNAcentral describes it as "partial 16S ribosomal RNA". It matches the Rfam family "Bacterial small subunit ribosomal RNA", at positions 1127 to 1382 of the family's 1533-position model. The record is from RNAcentral. Lineage: Bacteria; Pseudomonadati; Pseudomonadota; Gammaproteobacteria; Enterobacterales; Enterobacteriaceae.